Esox lucius (northern pike) is the source of this 525-nucleotide long non-coding RNA. RefSeq lists it as uncharacterized. The transcript has 3 exons. The record is from RefSeq and is a predicted model, not a curated record. NCBI's taxonomy places the organism in Eukaryota, Metazoa, Chordata, Actinopteri, Esociformes, Esocidae.
GCCUGGAGUUAAAUAGCAAUGGCCGGUCAGGAUAGCAGUGGCCUGUGGUGUCUCUGUGUUAGCUGUUAGCAGUGGCCUGUGAUGUCUUUGUGUUAGCUGUUAGCAGUGGCCUGUGGUGUCUCUGUGUUAGCUGUUAGCAGUGGCCUGUGGUGUCUCUGUGUUAGCUGUUAGCAGUGGCCUGUGGUGUCUCUGUGUUAGCUGUUAGCAUUGGCCUGUUGGUGAGGAAAAGCUACACAGCGGUCCAACCAGCAGGUGGCUGACAGGUCUACCUCCACACUUCAUCACAGCAGGGGAAGGCAAGCCUCUCAUCGUGGCAGAGCCCCUCCUGGACUGGAUAUCCAAUACAAGACCCCUCCAAUCAGGCUCUGUGGGAGACCCUUUAGACCAGGCCGUUCAGAAUCCAAAUCCUCUUUAAUCUUUAAGUGCGUCACCGUGAACCCACAUUGUUACUCUAUGUAACAGUGGAGCUAGUGGUAGACAGCAUGUAGGGACAGAAUACACACCAUCAACAGGAAGUUGACAUAC